UACAGAGGGGGCAAGCGUUAUUCGGAAUUAUUGGGCGUAAAGGGCGCGUAGGCGGUUACUCAAGUGGAUGGUGAAAUCCCCGGGCUCAACCUGGGAACUGCCGUCCAAACUGAGUGACUUGAGUCCGGGAGAGGUGAGUGGAAUUCCCAGUGUAGCGGUGAAAUGCGUAGAUAUUGGGAGGAACACCAGUGGCGAAGGCGGCUCACUGGACCGGAACUGACGCUGAGGCGCGAAAGCGUGGGGAGCAAACAGGAUUAGAAACCCUCGUAGUCC
RNAcentral lists this ribosomal RNA (273 nucleotides) under uncultured bacterium. RNAcentral describes it as "partial 16S ribosomal RNA". It matches the Rfam family "Bacterial small subunit ribosomal RNA", at positions 524 to 796 of the family's 1533-position model. The record is from RNAcentral.